This 495-nucleotide ribosomal RNA is filed under the name uncultured bacterium. Its description in RNAcentral is "bacterial SSU rRNA". It matches the Rfam family "Bacterial small subunit ribosomal RNA", at positions 35 to 518 of the family's 1533-position model. The record is from RNAcentral.
GUUAUGGCGUCAGGAAGUGAACGGCUGGACGGCGUGCCUAACACAUAGCAAGUCGAACGAGCGAGAGAUGAAACCUAGUGAUUCUCGAGCGAGUGGCGGACGGGUGAGUAACGCGUGGGUAACCUGCCUUACAGAGGGGAUAACAGUUUGAAAAGACUGCUAAUACCGCAUAAGCACACAGUACCGCAUGGUACAGGGUGAAAAGAUUUAUCACUGUAAGAUGGACCCGCGUCUGAUUAGCCAGUUGGCAGGUAACGGCCUCCAAAGCGACGAUCAGUAGCCGACCUGAGAGGGUGAUCGGCCACAUUGGGACUGAGACACGGCCCAAACUCCUACGGGAGGCAGCAGUGGGGGAUAUUGCACAAUGGAGGAAACUCUGAUGCAGCCGACGCCGCGUGAGUGAAGAAGUAUUUCGGUAUGUAAAGCUCUAUCAGCAGGGAAGAUAAUGACAGUACCUGACCAAGAAGCCCCGGCUAACUACGUGCCAGCCGCCGC